CCUACGGGAGGCAGCAGUGGGGAAUAUUGCGCAAUGGGCGAAAGCCUGACGCAGCGACGCCGCGUGGGUGAAGGAGUAUUUCGGUAUGUAAAGCCCUAUCAGCAGGGAAGAACAAUGCCGUUCCCUGACUCAGACGCACCGGCGAAAUACGUGCCAGCAGCCGCGGUAAUACGGAUGGGGCAAGCGUUAUCCGGAUUUACUGGGUGUAAAGGGAGCGCAGGCGGCGCGGUAAGCCUGGUGUGAAAGCCCGCGGCCCAACCGCGGGACUGCAUUGGGAACUGGCGCGCUGGAGUGCAGGAGGGGUAGGCGGAAUUCCUAGUGUAGCGGUGAAAUGCGUAGAUAUUAGGAGGAACACCAGUGGCGAAGGCGGCCUACUGGACGGUGACUGACGCUGAGGCUCGAAAGCGUGGGGAGCAAACAGGAUUAGAUACCCGGGUAGUC
Molecule: ribosomal RNA, 441 nt
Filed under: uncultured bacterium
Lineage: Bacteria
Description: partial 16S ribosomal RNA
Rfam family: Bacterial small subunit ribosomal RNA
Source: RNAcentral